Molecule: non-coding RNA, 1206 nt
Organism: Benincasa hispida (wax gourd)
Lineage: Eukaryota; Viridiplantae; Streptophyta; Magnoliopsida; Cucurbitales; Cucurbitaceae
Source: RefSeq, a predicted model, not a curated record
AUUUAUAAUAUAUUAAUUAUAUGAUAAUUAAUUUCUUUUCUCUAAUAACCGAAUUGAGUGGAAGGUCAUUGAAAGUUAUGGUAAUCGUGAGAUAAAAAAAAGGAAAAUUGUUUUCCAAAAUUAGCAGUCGAUUCUUUCGGAAAAAUCACACACAAAAGGCUAUCAAGUAAAAAGUGUUUUUAUUAAGCGAUAGUGUUGAGAGUCUAAACGAUCGAGCUAAGAGUUGACUAUACGAUAGUUACUCGUUUGAUUGUUGCUAAACGACGAGUAGUAAAGUCUAUACGAUAGGCUUCAUCUUCUAAACGAUCGAGUUAAUUGUCUAUACGAUAGACAGUCUUCAUCUCCCAUUUACCCGAUCGUUUACCUCCUGUUUUCCUCAAUCCAAGAUCAUAUAGAGCCCAUAACUCCUAGAUACCAAGAUAACACUUGUGGUGGUGUUCUAAUUUCGUUCGUGGAUUGAGUUGGACUCGAUUGGGUUCGAGGUGCAUCCAGUUGUUCGUGUUGUUGGUUGUUCUGUUUGUUGCGUUCGAGUGGAUCGUUGGAUGCAUGGGACAUUGAACGAGGGAUACUUGAUGAAGAGUUCUUCAAAGGUAUGCAUACUCUAUCCCUUUUAUCUUCUUAUAGCAUGCUGUAAUUUUGAUUUAUGCAUAAUCUAUUCGUUUCCAUUUUGAUUGUAUUUGUUUGUGUUCGUUCCGAAUGGGAUUUGGAAUGAUCCACUUCCACUGCUCAUAGAGAUCUCUGUUUAGAUUUCUUCAGACGGUACUUUCCUUCGUGAUUCACCAGAGGUUGUGUGUCCUUCGGGAUUCACUAGAGGUGGUGGUUUCCUUUGGAUCCACCAGAGGUCGUGUUUCCUUUAGGAUUCACUAGCGGUGGUGCUUUCCUUCGGAAUUCAUCAGAGGUUGUGUUUCCUCUGGGAUUCACUAGAGGUGGUGUCUCCUUCAGGGUUCAUUAGAGGUUGUGCAUCCUACAGGACUUACUAGAGGUAAGGGCAAGGACGCACUGACAAAUGACAAGAGGAAUCAUUGAACGAGCCACUAGGGACCAGUUUUAAUCUUCCACUCAUGUUUUAAGAUUUCCUUUAUGUUUUUAUUCACUUUUAGUUUUGGUAUUUGGAAUUUACUGUUGAGAUUUGUUUUCAGAAUUAUUUAUUUUCGUUUAUGACUUUUGGGUACCCUAUCAUUUGAAUUUAAUGAACAUCUUCUAAUC